Molecule: unclassified non-coding RNA, 243 nt
Filed under: uncultured fungus
Lineage: Eukaryota; Fungi
Description: sequence contains 5.8S rRNA gene
Rfam family: 5.8S ribosomal RNA (bases 1-53)
Source: RNAcentral
GAACGCACAUUGCGCCCCUUGGUAUUCCGGGGGGCAUGCCUGUUCGAGCGUCAUUUCAACCCUCAAGCAUUGCUUGGUCUUGGGCCGUGCCGGCAACGGCUGGCCUUAAAACUAGUGGCGGUGCCAUCGAGCUCUACGCGUAGUAAUUCUAUCUCGCGUCUGGGUCCCGGUGGACGCUGGCCAGCAACCCCCAAUUUUCUAUGGUUGACCUCGGAUCAGGUAGGGAUACCCGCUGAACUUAAG